GUGAACGCUGGCGGUAGGCCUAACACAUGCAAGUCGAACGGCAGCACAGUAAGAGCUUGCUCUUACGGGUGGCGAGUGGCGGACGGGUGAGGAAUACAUCGGAAUCUACUUUUUCGUGGGGGAUAACGUAGGGAAACUUACGCUAAUACCGCAUACGACCUACGGGUGAAAGCAGGGGAUCUUCGGACCUUGCGCGAUUGAAUGAGCCGAUGUCGGAUUAGCUAGUUGGCGGGGUAAAGGCCCACCAAGGCGACGAUCCGUAGCUGGUCUGAGAGGAUGAUCAGCCACACUGGAACUGAGACACGGUCCAGACUCCUACGGGAGGCAGCAGUGGGGAAUAUUGGACAAUUGGCGCAAGCCUGAUCCAGCCAUACCGCGUGGGUGAAGAAGGCCUUCGGGUUGUAAAGCCCUUUUGUUGGGAAAGAAAAGCAGCAGGUUAAUACCCCGCUGUUCUGACGGUACCCAAAGAAUAAGCACCGGCUAACUCCGUG
RNAcentral lists this ribosomal RNA (491 nucleotides) under uncultured bacterium. Its description in RNAcentral is "partial 16S ribosomal RNA". It matches the Rfam family "Bacterial small subunit ribosomal RNA", at positions 29 to 507 of the family's 1533-position model. The record is from RNAcentral.